GGAAUCUUCCACAAUGGGCGCAAGCCUGAUGGAGCAACACCGCGUGAGUGAAGAAGGGUUUCGGCUCGUAAAGCUCUGUUGUUGGAGAAGAACGUGCGUGAGAGUAACUGUUCACGUUUCGACGGUAUCUAACCAGAAAGCCACGGCUAACUACGUGCCAGCAGCCGCGGUAAUACGUAGGUGGCAAGCGUUAUCCGGAUUUAUUGGGCGUAAAGGGAACGCAGGCGGUCUUUUAAGUCUGAUGUGAAAGCCUUCGGCUUAACCGGAGUAGUGCAUUGGAAACUGGGAGACUUGAGUGCAGAAGAGGAGAGUGGAACUCCAUGUGUAGCGGUGAAAUGCGUAGAUAUAUGGAAGAACACCAGUGGCGAAAGCGGCUCUCUGGUCUGUAACUGACGCUGAGGUUCGAAAGCGUGGGUAGCAAACAGGA
Molecule: unclassified non-coding RNA, 427 nt
Filed under: plant metagenome
Description: partial contains 5.8S ribosomal RNA, internal transcribed spacer 2, and large subunit ribosomal RNA
Rfam family: Bacterial small subunit ribosomal RNA
Source: RNAcentral